AUCAACUUUCGAUGGUAGGAUAGAGGCCUACCAUGGUGGUAACGGGUAACGGGGUGUUAGGGCACGACACCGGAGAGGGAGCCUGAGAAACGGCUACCACAUCCAAGGAUGGCAGCAGGCGCGCAAAUUACCCAAUCCCGACACGGGGAGGUAGUGACGAUAAAUAACAAUACGGGGUUCUUUAGGAUCUCGUAAUUGGAAUGAGUACAAUUUAAAUCUCUUAACGAGGAACAAUUGGAGGGCAAGUCUGGUGCCAGCAGCCGCGGUAAUUCCAGCUCCAAUAGCGUAUAUUAAAGUUGUUGCAGUUAAAAAGCUCGUAGUUGAAUUUCGGGGUUAGUAGGUUGGUCAUGCCUCUGGUAUGUACUGGUCUCACUGAUUCCUCCUUCCUUAUGAACCGUAAUGCCAUUAAUUUGGUGUUGCGGGGAAUUUGGACUGUUACUUUGAAAAAAUUAGAGUGUUUAAAGCAAGCUAACGCUUGAAUACAUUAGCAUGGAAUAAUGAAAUAGGACGUUCGAUCUUAUUUUGUUGGUUUCUAGGAUUGACGUAAUGAUUAAUAGGGAUAGUUGGGGGCAUUAGUAUUCAAUUGUCAGAGGUGAAAUUCUUGGAUUUAUUGAAGACUAACUACUGCGAAAGCAUUUGCCAAGGAUGUUUUCAUUAAUCAAGAACGAAAGUUAGGGGAUCGAAGACGAUCAGAUACCGUCGUAGUCUUAACCAUAAACUAUGCCGACUAGGGAUCGGAUGAUGUUAAUUUUUUAAUGACUCAUUCGGCGCCUUACGGGAAACCAAAGUGUUUGGGUUC
This 799-nucleotide ribosomal RNA is filed under the name uncultured Rhizophagus. Its description in RNAcentral is "SSU rRNA". It matches the Rfam family "Eukaryotic small subunit ribosomal RNA", at positions 314 to 1114 of the family's 1831-position model. Lineage: Eukaryota; Fungi; Glomeromycota; Glomeromycetes; Glomerales; Glomeraceae. The record is from RNAcentral.